UACGGAGGGUGCAAGCGUUAUCCGGAUUCACUGGGUUUAAAGGGUGCGUAGGUGGGCAGGAAAGUCAGUGGUGAAAUCUUUGGGCUUAACCCGAAAACUGCCAUUGAUACUAUUUGUCUUGAAUAUUGUGGAGGUCAGCGGAAUAUGUCAUGUAGCGGUGAAAUGCUUAGAUAUGACAUAGAACACCAAUUGCGAAGGCAGCUGGCUACACAUAUAUUGACACUGAUGCACGAAAGCGUGGGGAUCAAACAGG
RNAcentral lists this ribosomal RNA (253 nucleotides) under uncultured bacterium. Its description in RNAcentral is "partial 16S ribosomal RNA". It matches the Rfam family "Bacterial small subunit ribosomal RNA", at positions 524 to 776 of the family's 1533-position model. The record is from RNAcentral.